AUUGAACGCUGGCGGCAGGCCUAACACAUGCAAGUCGAGCGCGCGGCGGACGGGUGAGUAAUGUCUGGGAAACUGCCCGAUGGGGGGGGAUAACUACUGUAAAAGGUGGCUAAUACCGCCUACCAUCAGCUGUGCCCAGAUGGGAUUAGAGAGUAGGUGGGGUAACGGCUCACCAAGGCGACGCGACCUCGCUGGUCUGAGAGGAUGACCAGCCACACUGGAACUGAGACACGGUCCAGACUCCUACGGGAGGCAGAAGUGGGGAAUAUUGCACAAUGGGCGCAAGCCUGAUGCAGCCAUGCCGCGUGUGUGAAGAAGGCCUGCGGGUUGUAAAGUACUUUCAGCGGGGAGGCGUUACCCGCAGAAGAAGCACCGGCUAACUCCGUGCCAGCAGCCGCGGUAAUAC
RNAcentral lists this ribosomal RNA (406 nucleotides) under uncultured bacterium. Its description in RNAcentral is "partial 16S ribosomal RNA". It matches the Rfam family "Bacterial small subunit ribosomal RNA", at positions 29 to 526 of the family's 1533-position model. The record is from RNAcentral.